GAUGAACGCUGGCGGCGUGCUUAACACAUGCAAGUCGAACGGUGAAGCAGGAGCUUGCUCCUGUGGAUCAGUGGCGAACGGGUGAGUAACACGUGAGCAACCUGCCCCUGACUCUGGGAUAAGCGCUGGAAACGGCGUCUAAUACUGGAUAUGUGAUGUGACCGCAUGGUCUGCAUCUGGAAAGAAUUUCGGUUGGGGAUGGGCUCGCGGCCUAUCAGCUUGUUGGUGAGGUAAUGGCUCACCAAGGCGUCGACGGUUAGCCGGCCUGAGAGGGUGACCGGCCACACUGGGACUGAGACACGGCCCAGACUCCUACGGGAGGCAGCAGUGGGGAAUAUUGCACAAUGGGCGGAAGCCUGAUGCAGCAACGCCGCGUGAGGGAUAACGGCCUUCGGGUUGUAAACCUCUUUUAGCAGGGAAGAAGCGAAAGUGACGGUACCUGCAGAAAAAGCACCGGCUAACUACGUGCCAGCCGCCGCCGUAA
RNAcentral lists this ribosomal RNA (484 nucleotides) under uncultured bacterium. Its description in RNAcentral is "partial 16S ribosomal RNA". It matches the Rfam family "Bacterial small subunit ribosomal RNA", at positions 28 to 523 of the family's 1533-position model. The record is from RNAcentral.